Myotis davidii is the source of this 217-nucleotide long non-coding RNA. RefSeq lists it as uncharacterized. The transcript has 2 exons. The record is from RefSeq and is a predicted model, not a curated record. NCBI's taxonomy places the organism in Eukaryota, Metazoa, Chordata, Mammalia, Chiroptera, Vespertilionidae.
AGACUUGAGGCAGGCUUGGCAGCGGGGGGUCUGAGGUGCGCCUGCGCAGGUUCCUGCACGCCUGCGCCUGCGCCUGCGCACGGCUCGACUUCCCGCGCAUUUUAGGAGGUCCGGGGUCGUGGACUGGGCAGUCUCCGCGCCGACCGUUGACUGAGGCGACCGUGGGCUGAGGCGGCGAAACCUGCGGGUUUAGUCCAAUAACUUCAUGUGCUAAAGA